GUUUGGGGGGAGAAAAGUAGGGGAUUGCAAGACCUUUCGCUUUUGGAGUGGCCGAUAUCAGAUUAGCUAGUUGGUGGGGUAAAGGCUCACCAAGGCGUCGAUCUGUAGCGGGUCUGAGAGGAUGAUCCGCCACACUGGGGCUGAGACACGGCCCAGACCCCUACGGGAGGCAGCAGUGGGGAAUUUUGGACAAUGGGCGAAAGCCUGAUCCAGCCAUGCCGCGUGAGUGAAGAAGGCCUUCGGGUUGUAAAGCUCUUUCAGCCGGAAAGAAAUCGUGCAGGCUAAUAUCCUGCAUGGAUGACGGUACCGGAAGAAGAAGCACCGGCUAACUACGUGCCAGCAGCCGCGGUAAUACGUAGGGUGCGAGCGUUAAUCGGAAUUACUGGGCGUAAAGCGUGCGCAGGCGGUUUUGUAAGACAGGCGUGAAAUCCCCGGGCUUAACCUGGGAACUGCGUUUGAAACUACAAAGCUAG
Molecule: ribosomal RNA, 473 nt
Filed under: uncultured Nitrosospira sp.
Lineage: Bacteria; Pseudomonadati; Pseudomonadota; Betaproteobacteria; Nitrosomonadales; Nitrosomonadaceae
Description: bacterial SSU rRNA
Rfam family: Bacterial small subunit ribosomal RNA
Source: RNAcentral